Molecule: long non-coding RNA, 973 nt
Organism: Lolium rigidum
Lineage: Eukaryota; Viridiplantae; Streptophyta; Magnoliopsida; Poales; Poaceae
Exons: 3
Source: RefSeq, a predicted model, not a curated record
UGCCCCCGUUCCUCGCGCCCGUGCGUCCUUCUCCCGGACACCAUGGCGUUGGGGACGAAUCAUGUGUGAACGUAGAGCAGCAGUACACGCUGGAUGCGAGCUCGUGCACUCGCUUGAGGGCGAGUUCGGCCAGUGCAUAUGACCCCAAGGUCCUCGGUGUGAACUGUUCCAGGAAACUACUGUGUGCCGAUUCUUUAUUGAUGCUCAUGAAGCAGCUGCCGGCCAAGCAGGGAUAUUUGUGUUGUGACAGACUGCUCCGGGAAGAAAAAGAGGACGAAGGUAUCGCUGCCAGCAGGAGCUCCUUCUAUUGACGCUGUUAUGGUGGGUUUUGUUAGGUCUGUGCUUAGUGCUCCUCCACCUAGGUUUGCCAACUCUGUCAGCAGUUGAUUAUAAUAUACUAUAUGUUGUGCAAAACUUGAUUAUAAUACUUGCAGCAUCACAGUUUGAGAACAUCCUCGAAAAAACAGUUUGAGAAAUUGGAAUAUACUGAGGAAGGUUACGAAGAGGAGCUUAAGUUUAUUGAGAAGGCUGGAAAUUUUAUUCACUUGCUUGUUGCUUUAUUGUGAAGCAAUCAAGCGUUGCAGCUGACAAGAAAAAAUCCCAGAGGUGGCCGGGUGCAUUGUUCCAACUUCAUAGGCUGUUGGACGACAGCAGCUGCUUGGCGGCGGCAGUGGGUGGAUGACCGUGGUCUCAGCUGAUGGAAUAUGGUGGCCACGAAUCAACCAGCAGUAGGUUCCAUUGCAUGGCAGGUCAAUUGAUGCCAUAGCAUUAUUUGCACAUUUGUGUGUUACACUGUCGGUUACUUUAAAUGUUAACCUCCAUUGUAUUUGACUGCAUGCCGGUAUAUUGGCUCCGUUCCAUGGUGGGUUAUGUCAAAAUGGUAUUUUGUUCCUGUCAUGUCAAUUGGUGAAUGUAUAGGAAUAUACCAAUGUAGAUUGUUUAUUACUUUGUUAUUUUCAGCAACUGAUGUGCA